Molecule: unclassified non-coding RNA, 264 nt
Filed under: Hevea brasiliensis (rubber tree)
Lineage: Eukaryota; Viridiplantae; Streptophyta; Magnoliopsida; Malpighiales; Euphorbiaceae
Source: RNAcentral
GGCGGUCCCCUGGGUAGUGGAUCACGGCGUAGGGCAUUGAUUGGUGGUUCAAUACGAAGUCGCCUCUUCCGACGCCUCCGUUCAGCAGCGGCUUCUUCCGCAGAUGAAAAAGCAAAUGAUCGAUGAGGUAGAAGGAAAUUAGGGUUUUGAGGAUUGUGAACGGAUGUUGUGAUUUGAGUUCUGACGGCGGCGACAGUGGCGGAGGAACGGCGGAGAGAGCGGAGGAGUAUGGCAUACAGUGCCAUGGCGGUGAGGAUUUAGGCG